UUGGGCGAGAGUAGUACUAGGAUGGCUGACCCCCUGGGAAGUCCUCGUGUUGCAUCCCU
This 59-nucleotide ribosomal RNA is filed under the name Solanum avilesii. Lineage: Eukaryota; Viridiplantae; Streptophyta; Magnoliopsida; Solanales; Solanaceae. The record is from RNAcentral.